Molecule: long non-coding RNA, 659 nt
Organism: Neopsephotus bourkii (Bourke's parrot)
Lineage: Eukaryota; Metazoa; Chordata; Aves; Psittaciformes; Psittacidae
Exons: 3
Source: RefSeq, a predicted model, not a curated record
CCACGGUUCCCCACGGAGCUGCAGCACCCGGGCUUGUGCCGAGGCGGGAUGAGCCGCCGCCCCGCUGCUACACUACUUGCGCACCUGAACCCAUCACCAUGCUGUACCUUCAGAAAGAGAAUGAAACUGGAGCUAAUCACAGGAGGGGAGCAGCAUCUGUGACCCUUUAUUGGGCUGCAUGUGUAGAGCUUCUGCACAAGACUAGAAAUGGAACCAGAAAGGAUAAGAUAGAUCUCUCUGGAUAGUUGGACAAAGAGGCUCCAUGGUCCCAGCUCAGUUCCCAGUGCCUGCAGAUGGAUUUGCUCCUGGGAACCCCUGCCACAGCCGGCAAGAACCCCAACCAGGCACCACCAGCCCUUAGGACACUGUCACAGGCCUUUGAUGGUGGCUCAAGAAGCUGAUGCAUUAUAACAGUCUCACCUCUGCUUCUGGGGGAAAAUAAUCUCCACUGCAAGAAAAAGCAAAUUGUGAGAAGGAAGAGACACUCCCAGGUCAAGGGAGAAGGGCACUCUUGCUGCAGCUGCUGGAGAAGAGGGUAACAGAACACGAUGCCGCAAGCCCUCCUCAUUACAGAGAUGCCCCCUGUAACUCUAUGGGCAGAUUCAUACCUUGCAGCCUGCAUGCUGCUGUUACAGACUCUGCUCCAGCUCAAGACAGGG